RNAcentral lists this ribosomal RNA (629 nucleotides) under Lipomyces kononenkoae. Its description in RNAcentral is "eukaryotic LSU rRNA". It matches the Rfam family "Eukaryotic large subunit ribosomal RNA", at positions 1 to 648 of the family's 3401-position model. Lineage: Eukaryota; Fungi; Ascomycota; Lipomycetes; Lipomycetales; Lipomycetaceae. The record is from RNAcentral.
UUGACCUCAAAUCAGGCAGGAGUACCCGCUGAACUUAAGCAUAUCAAUAAGCGGAGGAAAAGAAACCAACAGGGAUUGCCUUAGUAACUGCGAGUGAAGCGGCAAGAGCUCAAAUUUGAAAUCUGGCACCUUCGGUGUCCGAGUUGUAAUUUGUAGAAGCAUCUUUUGGAUUGGUCCUUGCAUAUGUUCCUUGGAACAGGACAUCAUAGAGGGUGAGAAUCCCGUUCAUGGUGGGGAAUCCAAUUCUUUGUAAAGUGCUUUCGAAGAGUCGAGUUGUUUGGGAAUGCAGCUCUAAGUGGGUGGUAAAUUCCAUCUAAAGCUAAAUAUUGGCGAGAGACCGAUAGCGAACAAGUACAGUGAUGGAAAGAUGAAAAGAACUCCGAAAGGAGAGUGAAAAAGGACGUGAAAUUGUUGAAAGGGAAGUGCUUGAGAUCAGUCUUAAGGUUUAGUGAUCAGUCUUCCUUUUGGUUGGUGCACUCACUAUUUCUUAGGCCAACAUCAGUUUUGGCGGCAGGAUAAUGACAUUGGAAUGUGGCUCUUUCGGGAGUGUUAUAGCCUUUGUUGAUACUGCCUGCUUGGACUGAGGACCGCGCUUUUGCUAGGAUGUUGGCAUAAUGAUCUUAAGCAGC